GCCAUAUGACUUUCCUAACUACCAAGAGGCCGUGUACGGCUUCGUCUUGACAUCCUAGACGAACCAAGAUGUUCCGUGUGGUUAGGAGCUCAUAUUAAAACAAUUUGUCCCGCAGGACGCAUAGACCCAUGCGAUCCCCUUCCCGUGGAACGCUCUUACAUGAGAACACACGGACCUGCUGAUCACAUCGUGUUCCCAUGAGCAUAAAAUGUGUGGUGUAAUGUCA
Non-coding RNA from Cinara cedri, 226 nucleotides. Lineage: Eukaryota; Metazoa; Arthropoda; Insecta; Hemiptera; Aphididae. The record is from the annotation of a GenBank genome assembly.